GGUUUGGUGGUCAUAGCACGAGCAAAACACCCGGUCCCAUCCCGAACCCGGCCGUUAAGUGCCGUCGCGCCAAUGGUACUGCGUCUCAAGACGUGGGAGAGUAGGUCGCCGCCAAACCUG
Molecule: ribosomal RNA, 120 nt
Filed under: Roseovarius tolerans
Lineage: Bacteria; Pseudomonadati; Pseudomonadota; Alphaproteobacteria; Rhodobacterales; Roseobacteraceae
Source: RNAcentral